CAUUAACAACGCAGGAUGAAGAGGAGCCUGCCAGUCAGGCUGUGGCAGAGGACAGUGUCCCAUUUUAUGGAGGACAGACAACGGAGAUAUGGAGAGACUAAGACUUGAAUCGAAACAAGUGAACUUCAUCAUAGAUUGGGAGAAGGAAUGACUGACUUUCCACUUCCUCUUCAAAUCUGGGGGAAUGCUAAACACGACUCUCAUGUGGGAUGCAGAGUUAGUGAUGUCUGAGUUGGGAAAAAUGUACACCUUGAGCCAUCUGCUUGCCACCAGUCCUCAGAGCAUCUUUCCGACGCUGAGAAGCCAUGUUGGAACCUAAGAUUUUGCUCCACUGACUUAACCCCAAUGUUAAGAAGCUAACAAUUUUUACAAGGAAGCUUCUGGAAGGAAAGAGAACAGUUUCUCCAUCCAUGUCAAAACUCAAGCAAAUGUAUUCAUAGCUCUUUUAUGUGUCAUGAUUGUCCUUCAGAUAAAUGUAAUCCAAGAGAUAUCUCUAUUUGUAGAAACAAAAAGAAUAAAAUAAAAAAGACUUAUAUAAGGUGACUCAGACCCAAUAGGACAUGCAUGGUAUGUACUCACCUAUAUGUGGAUAUUAGCCAUAAUACACAGGAUAAUCAUGCUAUAAUCAACAAACUCAAAGAAGCUAAAUAACAAGAAGAGCCCAAGGGAGGAAUGACAGGAACCUAAUAUAUCUGUCCUCUGAGAGGUUCCAAGCAGCAGCCAAUGGAAAGAGAUGCAGACUCACACCCAAGCAUUAGAUGGAACUUGGGAACUCUUACAGAAGAGUUGGGAGAAGAACUUAGGGACCCAAAGAUGAUAGGGACUCCACAGGAAGACCAACAGAGUCAACUAAUCUGGACCCUUGGGGGCUCACAGAGACUGAAUCACCGACAUAAGAGCAAGCACCAGCUGAACCUAGGUCCCCUGCACACAUACAGCAGAAGAGCAGCUUGGUCUUCAAGUGGGCUCCCCAACAACUGGAACUAGG
Long non-coding RNA from Mus pahari (shrew mouse), 988 nucleotides. RefSeq lists it as uncharacterized. The record is from RefSeq and is a predicted model, not a curated record. Lineage: Eukaryota; Metazoa; Chordata; Mammalia; Rodentia; Muridae. The transcript is spliced from 3 exons.